Molecule: unclassified non-coding RNA, 284 nt
Filed under: plant metagenome
Description: partial contains small subunit ribosomal RNA and internal transcribed spacer 1
Rfam family: Eukaryotic small subunit ribosomal RNA (bases 1-53)
Source: RNAcentral
GGAAGUAAAAGUGUAACAAGGUUUCCGUAGGUGAACCUGCGGAAGGAUCAUUAUUGUAUAACCGAGGUGCGAGGGCUGUCGCUGACCCGAAAGGUCGUGCACGCCCGAGUGCCCUCACACACAUCCAUCUCACCCCUAUGUGCACCACCGCGUGGGUCCCCCUUUGGCUUGUUCGGAGGGGGGCUUACGUUUUCACACAAACUUUGUAUGCAGUGUAGAAUGUAUUUUUUGUUUUUGCGAUCACGCAAUCAAUACAACUUUCAACAACGUAUCUCUUGGCUCUC